RNAcentral lists this long non-coding RNA (297 nucleotides) under Brassica napus (rape). Its description in RNAcentral is "long non-coding RNA (BNAP_LNC014812)". Lineage: Eukaryota; Viridiplantae; Streptophyta; Magnoliopsida; Brassicales; Brassicaceae. The record is from RNAcentral.
UUUUCAUUUUUUUUUAAUUUUUUCUCAAAAUCUACGAAUAUAUUGAAUUUUUCGGUAAAUGCUCUAUAUACAGAAGCCAAUGAUCUUUAGUGUUGUUAUAAAUUAUCUAAACACAUUCUACAUUUGUAUUAAUGUAUAUUUAACUUACUUUUAUGGUACAUGGGCAUUGUUUUAAUUUUUUGUCAAUUAAUUUAGUAAAAUUUCAUAAUACUCCAUAAAUUGGUGGACUAACCACUAUAAAUCGUUAUUUUCUAGAGAACCGUAGACAACAAAAGUUCCAAACCUCUUUGACCUUCA